ACUGGGAAAACAUGGCGGAGUCGGCUGGCGUUAAGUUGCUUUUUGGCAAAGUUGGGCGGCGAGAUUGUUUUUGGUGAUUUGGAUUAGAAAGCUGCAGGAGGGUCAUCGCUUAGUAAUUUAGGGUUAAGAGUACAGAAGCUAUGUCUUCCGUUGGUCGCAUGCCAUUUGAGUUCCUUUUUAUUUCCUCGAGUUUUAUUUGUUGGUUAUUCAUGGCUAGGUCUGUUCGCUCCUCACGUUCUCUCCUAAUCUCAGUAACUUUGUUAACCUUUCAUUUUCAAGUCGCAGGCGCCCAGGAAUGAACAGGAUAACUGCUAGUGGCUCCAGAUGUCAGAAAACAGAUGACCAGAUCGAGCACGCGCAGAUCUCUGGUUGGUCGGCUGUGUGCCUCCGGAAGGCCCGCCCUGCUCGUCCAAUCACGGAGAGGGAGGGCACGUUGAGAGUGAUGCCAGGAAUCAAGAUGGCCGCCUGGGACCGCUCUCAGCCCCUUCGGCCUCUACCUGAAGAGCCACGCCCCGUCUGCUACACCCAACUGAUUGGUUCCUCAAUCACAGAGAGGAAAGGCAACAUGAGGAUGACGUCAGUUACAAAUAUGGCGUUUUGGACGGGCUCGAUAGUUUGCUUGGCCUCUACUCAAGGAAUGCUGAUGGUAUAGCAAGAAGGUAUUCUGAGCAUUAUAUCAAUGGGGAAGUUCUAGAUCUUUUGCAAAGCAGGAGCAAGCUGCCCUGUUGUGAGCUCUCCGGUGGAGAGCCCCACAUGGCAAGAAAAUGAGAAGCCCCCUGAACAGACAAGAGCUGAGGCCCAGGAUACAAUAUCCUGAAAAAAACUGAAUCCUGCUGACAGUUGCCCAAGUGAAGCUGGAAGUGGAUCUUUCUGCAGUGGAUCCUUGAGAUGACUGUAGCCCUGGCUGACAACUUGAUUGCUGCCUGUGAAGGACCCUGAACCAGAGGACUCAGCGAAAUUGUGCCCAGAUUCCUGACCUACAGAGGCAGUGAGAUAAUAAAUGCUGUUGAGGUCACAAAGUUUUGAGAGUCAUCCUAGGGCAUCCAGAGGCCUUCAGGGUGGCCUGAAGUCUCCCACCGCACCACCUUUGGGUUAACCUAGCCUGUCCCACAGAAGAUGAUGAAGUUGGGUCUGGAGGCAAGCUGACUCAGAUGGAUUCUCGAUUUUAUGAUGCUGGACUGGAGAUGGGUUUCACCAUGUUGCCCAAGCUAGUCUCGAACUCGUGGACUCAAGCAAUCCACCUGCCUCAGCCUCCCAAAGUGCCUUACAGGCGUGAGCCACCGCACCUGGCUGAACUGUCCCUUCACACUUACCUUCAGUCCUGGAGGGAGGACCUCUUGCUUGUGGAUCUGGAUGACAGUGAUACUCACAAGUACCACAAUACUCACAAGCAAGACCACCAAGGCAAUGAUGGUUGGAGUUCGGUAGAGGGCCUUGAGGCCUAAAAUGAGAAGACCCAGAAGACACUUGAGGGGGAGGUAAAAACCAGGCACUGGUAUUCUUUGUAGAAUUGAUGGACUGGCCCCAUAAUCAGGUGCAUAAACCACCUUCUCUGGUGUUAGCGAGACCCACACUUCUAAGAUGGAGUAGCAAAUAAGCUCCCCUUCUCCCCAGUUUUGGGGAAGCACAAACAAUACCUAUUUGCCCUUCCUCACAAAUUGUGUACUAAAACAGUGUUGCAGGGAGGGUAUGCAUGGUCUAGUUUUCUGAUAUUUUGGUUAUCCCUGAGAUGAAUUACAAUAACAUUUGUUUUACUUUUUUCUUUUUCUUUUCUUUUUUUUUUUUUUUGAGAUGGAGUCUCACUCUAUCGCCCAGGUUAGAGUGCUGUGCCGUGAUCUUGGCUCACUGCAGCUUCCAACUCCCAGGUUCAAGCGAUUCUUCUGCCUCUGCCUCCUGAAUAGCUGAGAUUACAGGUGCCUGCUACCACGGCAGCCAAUUUUUGUAUUUUUAAUAGAGACAGGGUUUCACCAUGUUGGCCAGGCUGGUCUCGAACUCCUGGGCUCAAGUGAUCUGCCUGUCUCGGUCUCCCAAAGUGCUGGGAUUACAGGUGUGAGCCACCACGCCCAGCUAACAUUAGUUUUAAUGGAGAUUCAAAAAAUCUAUUUUUAAAAAAUUAAACCAGGUGAUAGAAUAUUUCACUUAAAAAUAAUCUCAUAGAAUAUUUCAUUUAAAAAUAAUCUCAGUUAAAGAAAAAGAAAUUAGGCUGGGCAGAUGGCUGACCCCUGUAAUCCCAGCACUUUGGGAGGCCGAAGUGGGUGGAUCACUUGAGGUCAGGAGUUCAAGACCAGCCUGGCCAAUAUGGUGAAACCAUGUCUCUACCAAGAAAUACAAAAAUUAGCCAGGUGUGAUCAUAUGCGCCUGUAGUCCCAGCUACUCGGGAGACUGAGGUGGGAGAAUUGCUUGAAGCCAGGAGGUGGAGGUUGCAAUGAGUUGAGAUCAAACUACUACACACCAGCCUGGGUGACAGAAUAAGACCUUGUCUCAAUAAAAUAAAAUAAAAAUAAAAAAAUUAGUACUAUAC
RNAcentral lists this long non-coding RNA (2521 nucleotides) under Homo sapiens (human). RNAcentral's name for it is "non-protein coding ENTPD3-AS1:12". The record is from RNAcentral. Lineage: Eukaryota; Metazoa; Chordata; Mammalia; Primates; Hominidae.